RNAcentral lists this unclassified non-coding RNA (327 nucleotides) under soil metagenome. RNAcentral describes it as "partial contains 5.8S ribosomal RNA, internal transcribed spacer 2, and large subunit ribosomal RNA". The stretch from base 1 to 119 matches the Rfam family "5.8S ribosomal RNA", at positions 35 to 154 of the family's 154-position model. The record is from RNAcentral.
GAUGAAGAACCAGCGAAAUGCGAUAAGUAAUGUGAAUUGCAGAAUUCAGUGAAUCAUCGAAUCUUUGAACGCACAUUGCGCCCCCUGGUAUUCCGGGGGGCAUGCCUGUUCGAGCGUCAUUUCAACCCUCAAGCUCUGCUUGGUAUUGAGUCCAUGUCAGCAAUGGCAGGCUCCAAAAUCAGUGGCGGCGCCGCUGGGUCCUGAACGUAGUAAUAUCUCUCGUUACAGGUGCUCGGCGUGCUUCUGCCAAAACCCCAAUUUUUCUAUGGUUGACCUCGGAUCAGGUAGGGAUACCCGCUGAACUUAAGCAUAUCAAUAAGCGGAGGA